This 1460-nucleotide ribosomal RNA is filed under the name Salmonella enterica subsp. enterica serovar Infantis. Its description in RNAcentral is "bacterial SSU rRNA". Lineage: Bacteria; Pseudomonadati; Pseudomonadota; Gammaproteobacteria; Enterobacterales; Enterobacteriaceae. The record is from RNAcentral.
UGGUGACGAGUGGCGGACGGGUGAGUAAUGUCUGGGAAACUGCCUGAUGGAGGGGGAUAACUACUGGAAACGGUGGCUAAUACCGCAUAACGUCGCAAGACCAAAGAGGGGGACCUUCGGGCCUCUUGCCAUCAGAUGUGCCCAGAUGGGAUUAGCUWGUUGGUGAGGUAACGGCUCACCAAGGCGACGAUCCCUAGCUGGUCUGAGAGGAUGACCAGCCACACUGGAACUGAGACACGGUCCAGACUCCUACGGGAGGCAGCAGUGGGGAAUAUUGCACAAUGGGCGCAAGCCUGAUGCAGCCAUGCCGCGUGUAUGAAGAAGGCCUUCGGGUUGUAAAGUACUUUCAGCGGGGAGGAAGGUGUUGYGGUUAAUAACCGCAGCAAUUGACGUUACCCGCAGAAGAAGCACCGGCUAACUCCGUGCCAGCAGCCGCGGUAAUACGGAGGGUGCAAGCGUUAAUCGGAAUUACUGGGCGUAAAGCGCACGCAGGCGGUCUGUCAAGUCGGAUGUGAAAUCCCCGGGCUCAACCUGGGAACUGCAUUCGAAACUGGCAGGCUUGAGUCUUGUAGAGGGGGGUAGAAUUCCAGGUGUAGCGGUGAAAUGCGUAGAGAUCUGGAGGAAUACCGGUGGCGAAGGCGGCCCCCUGGACAAAGACUGACGCUCAGGUGCGAAAGCGUGGGGAGCAAACAGGAUUAGAUACCCUGGUAGUCCACGCCGUAAACGAUGUCUACUUGGAGGUUGUGCCCUUGAGGCGUGGCUUCCGGAGCUAACGCGUUAAGUAGACCGCCUGGGGAGUACGGCCGCAAGGUUAAAACUCAAAUGAAUUGACGGGGGCCCGCACAAGCGGUGGAGCAUGUGGUUUAAUUCGAUGCAACGCGAAGAACCUUACCUGGUCUUGACAUCCACAGAAGAAUCCAGAGAUGGAUUUGUGCCUUCGGGAACUGUGAGACAGGUGCUGCAUGGCUGUCGUCAGCUCGUGUUGUGAAAUGUUGGGUUAAGUCCCGCAACGAGCGCAACCCUUAUCCUUUGUUGCCAGCGGUCCGGCCGGGAACUCAAAGGAGACUGCCAGUGAUAAACUGGAGGAAGGUGGGGAUGACGUCAAGUCAUCAUGGCCCUUACGACCAGGGCUACACACGUGCUACAAUGGCGCAUACAAAGAGAAGCGACCUCGCGAGAGCAAGCGGACCUCAUAAAGUGCGUCGUAGUCCGGAUUGGAGUCUGCAACUCGACUCCAUGAAGUCGGAAUCGCUAGUAAUCGUGGAUCAGAAUGCCACGGUGAAUACGUUCCCGGGCCUUGUACACACCGCCCGUCACACCAUGGGAGUGGGUUGCAAAAGAAGUAGGUAGCUUAACCUUCGGGAGGGCGCUUACCACUUUGUGAUUCAUGACUGGGGUGAAGUCGUAACAAGGUAACCGUAGGGGAACCUGCGGUUGGAUCACCUCCUUACCUUAAAGAA